Molecule: long non-coding RNA, 455 nt
Filed under: Nicotiana tabacum (common tobacco)
Lineage: Eukaryota; Viridiplantae; Streptophyta; Magnoliopsida; Solanales; Solanaceae
Description: long non-coding RNA (NTAB_LNC008800)
Source: RNAcentral
CCCGAUUCCCAUAUUUUCGUGUGCUGCCCCCGCCUUCCGAGUGGGCCCGCGUCCCCCAAAACCGGAUUGCCUAACAUUUUUCAGGCCAUCAAAUACGACCUAAGGAACCAUUGUCACCGCCCUUCCAUUGCCGUUCCUCCUUGUUUUGCGUUUUACGUUCAAAAAACUAGAAUUUCGCCCGAUUCCCAUAUAUUCGUGUGCUAUAGCCAACCCUUCCUAGUGGGUCCGGGUCCCCCGGCCCCCGAUCGCCUAAAAUUUUUCCGGGCUAUCAAAUACAACCUAAGGAACCAUAUUCACCGCCCUGCCAUGACCGUUCCUCGUUGUUUUGCUUUUUACGACCAAAAAACUAGAAUUAUAUCUGAUUCCCAUAUUUUCGUGUACUCUAGCCCACGCCUUCCGAGUGGGCCAGGGUCCCACGAAACCGGAUUGCCUAACAAUUUUCCAGGCCAUCAAAU